AGGGGUGCGGCCGGGUGGAAACAAAACAGAAAUCUGGUAGGAAAGAACAUUGAAUAUUAGAAACAUAAAGCCUUUUAAAAAUCCAUUUCACCUGUCACUAUUUUUGUUGUUUGGUUUUUGCAUUUCUCUCAAUGCUGACAAGGGAAAUAAAUAAAGUCAGUUCCACCUUUGUUUACAGUCAGGUUCGCAGGGCUGUGAAGUUUGGGUUGCAAACACUGCAGAGUAACCUUUAUUUGUUUGAAAACCCAAACUGUUUCCAUUGGAAUGCUCAGAAAAAUGCAUCCCAAAUCUCUCUUCUGGCCUUGUUUUUACAAAUCUAAUCUUGGGUCAAAAUUUGAGUUGUGUGGUGGAUCACUGUUCUCUCCCACAAACAACCUUUGUUCUGUGUCAUAGCUUUCAGAAGUUGGCACGUAUUCCAUAGUAAUAAAGUCUGCCCCUGCUACCAGAGGAUCUGAACCUGCAAACACUUACACACAAGUUUAAUUUUACACAGAAACUUCUCUUUUGGGGCAAGAGGAACUUGUUUAACACUAACUACAAUAAUUUAUCCAAGUUAAAAGGGACUGUUUGGGUACUAGCAGGACACCAGAACAUUCUUGGAAAAGUUUGAAUUUCAGAGUAGUGUCCCAACUGAUCCAGGUGUCUCUCAAAGGCCAGAAGAGCUAUCAGGAUCUUGUCAAGGAAAAGAAAGAAAUAUUCCUGGCAUCGCCAACUCUAGAGCUGAGAUGGGAAAAAAAAGCAGAUGACAUCACCAUAAGGAGGGAGAAAUGAUCUUCAGAUGGACAGGCUGGGAAGGAAGAGAGAUUCUUCUUCCUCUUUCAGAUUGGGAGGCAACAGAUGCUAAGACCACCCAUGAUACAGUAGCUGAAGGUUCUGUGGAGAUAACAUUACCAUGUAUUUUUGAGAAAAAAAUGGAAGUUUCCAGCCCUCCCGCUUGCAGAGAGAAAUCUGAAACCGUGAGCUGAGCACAGAAAUGAGAAAGAGCAAGGACAGGCUUAGAAAUGAAGUGAAGAAAAAGCACCCAUUUAAAAAUGGGUUUGAAGGUGGGGUU
Molecule: long non-coding RNA, 1051 nt
Organism: Trachemys scripta elegans
Lineage: Eukaryota; Metazoa; Chordata; Testudines; Emydidae
Exons: 7
Source: RefSeq, a predicted model, not a curated record